Molecule: ribosomal RNA, 543 nt
Filed under: uncultured bacterium
Lineage: Bacteria
Description: bacterial SSU rRNA
Rfam family: Bacterial small subunit ribosomal RNA
Source: RNAcentral
AAUAGAUACCCCGGUAGUCCUAGCUGUAAACGAUGAGCACUGGGUUGAGGGGACUUCCACAUCCUCUCGGCCGUAGCGAAAGCGUUAAGUGCUCCGCCUGGGGAGUAUGGCCGCAAGGCUGAAACUCAAAGGAAUUGACGGGGGCUCACACAAGCGGUGGAGGAUGUGGCUUAAUUCGAGGCUACGCGAAGAACCUUAUCCUAGGCUUGACAUGGUUGAGAAUCUCCUUGAAAGAGGAGAGUGCCCUUCGGGGAGCUCUUUCACAGGUGCUGCAUGGCUGUCGUCAGCUCGUGUCGUGAGAUGUUGGGUUAAGUCCCUUAACGAGCGAAACCCUUAUCUUUAGUUGCCAGCGGGUAAUGCCGGGGACUCUAAAGAGACUGCCGGUGUCAAACCGGAGGAAGGUGGGGAUGACGUCAAGUCCUCAUGGCCUUUAUGUCUAGGGCUGCACACGUCCUACGAAUGGUACGUACAAAGGGAAGCCAAGCCGCGAGGCCGCGCUAAUCCCGAAAAAGCGUGCCCCAGUUCGGAUUGCAGGCUGCUAAC